RNAcentral lists this non-coding RNA (186 nucleotides) under Desulfobacteraceae bacterium. RNAcentral describes it as "6S RNA". It matches the Rfam family "6S / SsrS RNA". Rfam says of the family: E. coli 6S RNA was the first non coding RNA to be sequenced, but its function was unknown until recently. It consists of 184 nucleotides that fold into an extended hairpin structure with a large single-stranded internal bulge. Lineage: Bacteria; Pseudomonadati; Thermodesulfobacteriota; Desulfobacteria; Desulfobacterales; Desulfobacteraceae. The record is from RNAcentral.
CCACCCCUGCAAUGUGCGUGAUUGUAUGACGGUCUUUGUCCUAACGCAUAUUUAAAAGGGAAUCCACCCUGAUGCCGGUGAGCAGGUUCCUCAAAAGCAAGGAAAAGCCUAAAGGCGUUACUGGAUGCCCACCUUUUGAACCACUGGUUCAAAGCUUAAUGCAACACGGCAGCCUGCGGGGGCUAC